RNAcentral lists this transfer RNA (71 nucleotides) under Schistosoma mansoni. Lineage: Eukaryota; Metazoa; Platyhelminthes; Trematoda; Strigeidida; Schistosomatidae. The record is from RNAcentral.
ACUCAGUAGCUAUGUGGAUAACGCGAUAGCGUUUGAAGCAAAUGGUACUGGGUUCGAGUCCCAGAGUGAGC